This 97-nucleotide transfer RNA is filed under the name Actinomycetes bacterium. RNAcentral's name for it is "tRNA-Sec". It matches the Rfam family "Selenocysteine transfer RNA". Lineage: Bacteria; Bacillati; Actinomycetota; Actinomycetes. The record is from RNAcentral.
GGAGGUGGAUCCGUCCCGGUGGGCGGCGCGGUCUUCAAAACCGUUGUGAGGGGUGAAGAGCUUCUCGGGUAGGUUCGACUCCUACGCACCUCCGCCA